RNAcentral lists this ribosomal RNA (429 nucleotides) under Gemmatimonadota bacterium. RNAcentral describes it as "Gemmatimonadetes bacterium partial 16S ribosomal RNA". It matches the Rfam family "Bacterial small subunit ribosomal RNA", at positions 355 to 776 of the family's 1533-position model. Lineage: Bacteria; Pseudomonadati; Gemmatimonadota. The record is from RNAcentral.
UAGGGAAUCUUCGGCAAUGGACGAAAGUCUGACCGAGCAACGCCGCGUGAGUGAAGAAGGUUUUCGGAUCGUAAAACUCUGUUGUUAGAGAAGAACAAGAACGUUAGUAACUGAACGUCCCCUGACGGUAUCUAACCAGAAAGCCACGGCUAACUACGUGCCAGCAGCCGCGGUAAUACGUAGGUGGCAAGCGUUGUCCGGAUUUAUUGGGCGUAAAGCGAGCGCAGGCGGUUUCUUAAGUCUGAUGUGAAAGCCCCCGGCUCAACCGGGGAGGGUCAUUGGAAACUGGGAGACUUGAGUGCAGAAGAGGAGAGUGGAAUUCCAUGUGUAGCGGUGAAAUGCGUAGAUAUAUGGAGGAACACCAGUGGCGAAGUCGGCUCUCUGGUCUGUAACUGACGCUGAGGCUCGAAAGCGUGGGGAGCAAACAGG